RNAcentral lists this long non-coding RNA (248 nucleotides) under Elaeis guineensis (African oil palm). RNAcentral describes it as "long non-coding RNA (EGUI_LNC015203)". The record is from RNAcentral. Lineage: Eukaryota; Viridiplantae; Streptophyta; Magnoliopsida; Arecales; Arecaceae.
GCCAGUGCAAUUGACAAAUGAUUGGUAUUAGGCUGGCCUUAUCUCCACUGUAGCCAUCUCUAUUUAAAACCCCUCCACCCCUACUCUUGGCUUCAUUAAGCUCCUCCCUCCCUUCCUCCUCAUCUUCGGCAAUUGAUGAAUCUCUUAACCAAGCCCAGCCACCCAAAGACCCUCCCCCCUCUCUCUCUCUAAAUUCCAUCAUUCUUCUAUUUUGAUUCGGAUUUGUUCCUACCAAUCCCUUCGUCGCC